RNAcentral lists this ribosomal RNA (303 nucleotides) under uncultured bacterium. Its description in RNAcentral is "partial 16S ribosomal RNA". It matches the Rfam family "Bacterial small subunit ribosomal RNA", at positions 507 to 807 of the family's 1533-position model. The record is from RNAcentral.
AGCAGUAGCCGCGGGAAUACAGAGGGUGCGAGCGUUAAUCGGAUUUACUGGGCGUAAAGCGUGCGUAGGCGGCUUCUUAAGUCGGAUGUGAAAUCCCUGAGCUUAACUUAGGAAUUGCAUUCGAUACUGGGAAGCUAGAGUAUGGGAGAGGAUGGUAGAAUUCCAGGUGUAGCGGUGAAAUGCGUAGAGAUCUGGAGGAAUACCGAUGUCGAAGGCAGCCAUCUGGCCUAAUACUGACGCUGAGGUACGAAAGCAUGGGGAGCAAACAGGAUUAGAUACCCCUGUAGUCCCUGUCUCUUAUAC